CCGCAACGAGCGCAACCCCUGUGAACUGUUGCCAUGGAGACGUGAGUCUCCGGCACUCUGUUCAGACUGCCCUGUUCAACGGGGAGGAAGGUGGGGACGACGUCAAGUCAGUAUGGCCCCUUACGGCCAGGGCUGCACACGUACUACAAUGCCCGACACAGAAGGCUCCGAGACCGCAAGGUGGAGGAAAUCACCAAAGUCGGGCCCAGUUCGGAUUGGAGGCUGCAACUCGCCUCCAUGAAGCCGGAAUCGCUAGUAAUGGCGCAUCAGCUACGGCGCCGUGAAUACGUUCCCGGGUCUUGUACACACCGCCCGUCACAUCAUGG
This 326-nucleotide ribosomal RNA is filed under the name uncultured Verrucomicrobium sp. RNAcentral describes it as "bacterial SSU rRNA". It matches the Rfam family "Bacterial small subunit ribosomal RNA", at positions 1087 to 1407 of the family's 1533-position model. Lineage: Bacteria; Pseudomonadati; Verrucomicrobiota; Verrucomicrobiia; Verrucomicrobiales; Verrucomicrobiaceae. The record is from RNAcentral.